This 90-nucleotide transfer RNA is filed under the name Deltaproteobacteria bacterium. RNAcentral describes it as "tRNA-Ser". It matches the Rfam family "tRNA". From Rfam's summary of the family: Transfer RNA (tRNA) molecules are approximately 80 nucleotides in length. The record is from RNAcentral. Lineage: Bacteria; Pseudomonadati; Myxococcota; Myxococcia. RNAcentral also lists the same sequence under 1 other name.
GGAGAGGUGUCCGAGUCCGGCUGAAGGAGCACGCCUGGAGAGCGUGUGACCCUCCGGGGUCCGUGGGUUCAAAUCCCACCCUCUCCGCCA